GUGGGGAAUAUUGGACAAUGGGCGCAAGCCUGAUCCAGCCAUGCCGCGUGAGUGAUGAAGGCCCUAGGGUUGUAAAGCUCUUUCACCGGAGAAGAUAAUGACGGUAUCCGGAGAAGAAGCCCCGGCUAACUUCGUGCCAGCAGCCGCGGUAAUACGAAGGGGGCUAGCGUUGUUCGGAAUUACUGGGCGUAAAGCGCACGUAGGCGGACAUUUAAGUCAGGGGUGAAAUCCCGGAGCUCAACUCCGGAACUGCCUUUGAUACUGGGUGUCUGGAGUAUGGAAGAGGUGAGUGGAAUUCCGAGUGUAGAGGUGAAAUUCGUAGAUAUUCGGAGGAACACCAGUGGCGAAGGCGGCUCACUGGUCCAUUACUGACGCUGAGGUGCGAAAGCGUGGGGAGCAAACAGGAUUAGAUACCCGUGUAGUCC
Molecule: ribosomal RNA, 425 nt
Filed under: uncultured bacterium
Lineage: Bacteria
Description: partial 16S ribosomal RNA
Rfam family: Bacterial small subunit ribosomal RNA
Source: RNAcentral